UUGAUCCUGCCGGACCCGACUGCUAUCAGAGUGGGACUAAGCCAUGCGAGUCAACGCAGCAAUGCGUGGCAUACGGCUCAGUAACACGUAGUCAACAUGCCCAGGGGACGUGGAUAACCUCGGGAAACUGAGGAUAAACCGCGAUAGGCCAAGGUUUCUGGAAUGGACACUGGCUGAAACCUAUAUGGCCCCUGGAUUGGACUGCGGCCGAUCAGGCUGUUGGUGAGGUAAUGGCCCACCAAACCUGUAACCGGUACGGGCUCUGAGAGGAGGAGCCCGGAGAUGGGCACUGAGACAAGGGCCCAGGCCCUAUGGGGCGCAGCAGGCGCGAAACCUCUGCAAUAGGCGAAAGCCUGACAGGGUUACUCUGAGUGAUUCCCGCUAAGGGGAUCUUUUGGCACCUCUAAAAAUGGUGCAGAAUAAGGGGUGGGCAAGUCUGGUGUCAGCCGCCGCGGUAAUACCAGCACCCCGAGUGGUCGGGACGAUUAUUGGGCCUAAAGCAUCCGUAGCCGGUCAUGCAAGUCCUCCGUUAAAUCCACCUGCUCAACAGAUGGGCUGCGGAGGAUACUACAAGGCUAGGAGGCGGAAGAGGCAAGCGGUACUCAGUGGGUAGGGGUAAAAUCCUCUGAUCCAUUGAAGACCACCAGUGGCGAAGGCGGCUUGCCAAUACGCGCUCGACGGUGAGGGAUGAAAGCUGGGGGAGCAAACCGGAUUAGAUACC
This 721-nucleotide ribosomal RNA is filed under the name uncultured Nitrososphaerota archaeon. Its description in RNAcentral is "bacterial SSU rRNA". It matches the Rfam family "Archaeal small subunit ribosomal RNA", at positions 8 to 737 of the family's 1478-position model. The record is from RNAcentral. Lineage: Archaea; Thermoproteati; Nitrososphaerota.